GUUUUAUUAUUGUACAACUGCUCUGACUGAAUAACCUUCUCUUGUCUCUAUUUUUGCUCUGCAACGAAUUACCUCUGAUUAAUCUUGCAGAUUUUUACAUGAGCAGAAUUUGAGCAGAAAAAAAUAGUUUGUGUUAAUCAGUCAUGUAGUGUUCCUGUGAAUUGAUUAAGCCACCCUAAAGUCCUUUCUGGAAUCAUAAGAUGGCUUCAUCGGGAGCUCCACCUGGGUAGAGCGGCAGGAUCAGAUUAACACAUCAAACACCGAAAUAGCUCCGUACAUAGACUGAAUAAAGUGGACUCUGCUCUGCUGUAAAUUGCCUGCAUUCCUGGGACGCUGCGGACCCUUCAAAGACAACAGAAACUGAGGAUGUUUUCACUGCUGAGGGGCUGGUAAAAUUCAGAUGAACAGAGAGCUUUUGGUUCAUAUCAAAAUAUAAUUCCAUGUGGAAUACAGAACUUGAAACUUUAAUAUGCACAAAAUACAGAUGGCAGUGGAAAAAACAAUAGAAUCUUGGAAUGAAAAAGUCCCCAGAUUACUCUGUUGUGAAAACAAGUCCUUGACAUUCUUCCCGUUCAUCUAGGGAGAUGCUGACAUCCACUUUGUUACCUUUGCCUGAAGGUCCAAAUACAAUUUCUCACGAUGCACUAAAUAAUGGCUAAAUGGACACUUACCAUAUGGAGCACAUGUAAGCAUACAGUGGAGCAGUAAGAAACGAGUGAAAUGAAAACUUCUUGGAAGAAGAGGACACAUCAUAUAGGGAUGACUGGUCCUGAUGUCCAUGAUAUGACAGGACUCCCUGGCCUGUGAGUU
Molecule: long non-coding RNA, 810 nt
Filed under: Sus scrofa (pig)
Lineage: Eukaryota; Metazoa; Chordata; Mammalia; Artiodactyla; Suidae
Description: lncRNA (ENSSSCG00065062281.1)
Source: RNAcentral